CCUACGGGAGGCAGCAGUGGGGAAUAUUGCACAAUGGGCGAAAGCCUGAUGCAGCAACGCCGCGUGAGUGAUGAAGGCCUUCGGGUCGUAAAACUCUGUCCUCAAGGAAGGUAAUGACGGUACUUGAGGAGGAAGCCCCGGCUAACUACGUGCCAGCAGCCGCGGUAAUACGUAGGGGGCUAGCGUUAUCCGGAUUUAUUGGGUUUAAAGGGUGCGCAGGCGGUCUGUUAAGUCAGCGGUCAAAGCCCGGGGCUCAACCCCGGCCCGCCGUUGAAACUGGCAGUCUCGAGUUGGAGAGAAGUAUG
Molecule: ribosomal RNA, 305 nt
Filed under: uncultured bacterium
Lineage: Bacteria
Description: bacterial SSU rRNA
Rfam family: Bacterial small subunit ribosomal RNA
Source: RNAcentral